Molecule: unclassified non-coding RNA, 827 nt
Filed under: Hevea brasiliensis (rubber tree)
Lineage: Eukaryota; Viridiplantae; Streptophyta; Magnoliopsida; Malpighiales; Euphorbiaceae
Source: RNAcentral
GGGGAAGAGUAGUACUAGAAUGUUACGUGGCUGAGGAACUGUUGGAAGGCAAAUAACAAGCAAACAACAAGUAUUUCAUCCUCCCAAAUUGAGGACUCGCCACCAGCUGUGCUAGAAAUUGAGGACUCCCAAAUCUUCUCUCAUUGUGCAUGAUCAAAUGCCUCUCGCAGCUCCAAGUUAUGGAAUUGAGUUAUCGUCCUAACAUGAAAGCUAUUGUUAUCGAUGAAAUUGAACACGACAAUGAAGUGGUCGAGUUCGAUCAACUGUGCUCCUUGAGACUAAAAAAUCUGCCACAUCUCACAAGCUUUUGCAGCAAAAUGAGGAUGCCUCUGGGAAUUAGAGCGAGACAUGAGCAAUUGACAGUUGAUGCAGCAUUUGAGGAAUUUGUCUUAGAGGGUGAACUUGUCGGUUUUCUCUUUUCAAUGCAAUUCCAUAUCAUGUAAUUUUGUCAUUUUCUGCAUGUAUGGGAGCAUAGUUCCACAUUGCCACAGCCAAAGGAUUCACUUGAAGCAUAUAUGGACUAAGGUUCCACAAGGAGUUCUUACAGUUCAAAAUUUGAAAUCAAUUUAUGUUUCAUGAGAUUCUGAAAAAUCUCUUUCCUGCCUCCAUAGCAAGAGUCUGUUUUCUUUGGCAACUUCAACACCUUAAAAUAAAGGGCACCAGAACUUGGGAGUUUCUAUCCAGGGAUACUCACCUCUGAGUGGUAGAAAUUGAAAUGAUUUAGUUAUGGUUGUGACAAUGUUUAGAGUUGAUGUAAAAACUAGUGAGCUGUAGUUAUAUUGAAAUUGUACCAAAACUUAAAAUCUUAAUUCAAGUUUCAUUCAAAA